AUUGGACGCUGGCGGCAGGCCUAACACAUGCAAGUCGAGCGGAUGAAGGGAGCUUGCUCCUGGAUUCAGCGGCGGACGGGUGAGUAAUGCCUAGGAAUCUGCCUGGUAGUGGGGGAUAACGUCCGGAAACGGGCGCUAAUACCGCAUACGUCCUGAGGGAGAAAGUGGGGGAUCUUCGGACCUCACGCUAUCAGAUGAGCCUAGGUCGGAUUAGCUAGUUGGUGGGGUAAAGGCCUACCAAGGCGACGAUCCGUAACUGGUCUGAGGGGAUGAUCAGUCACACUGGAACUGAGACACGGUCCAGACUCCUACGGGAGGCAGCAGUGGGGAAUAUUGGACAAUGGGCGAAAGCCUGAUCCAGCCAUGCCGCGUGUGUGAAGAAGGUCUUCGGAUUGUAAAGCACUUUAAGUUGGGAGGAAGGGCAGUAAGUUAAUACCUUGCUGUUUUGACGUUACCAACAGAAUAAGCACCGGCUAACUUCGUG
RNAcentral lists this ribosomal RNA (484 nucleotides) under uncultured bacterium. RNAcentral's name for it is "partial 16S ribosomal RNA". It matches the Rfam family "Bacterial small subunit ribosomal RNA", at positions 30 to 507 of the family's 1533-position model. The record is from RNAcentral.